This 254-nucleotide unclassified non-coding RNA is filed under the name uncultured Acidimicrobiia bacterium. RNAcentral's name for it is "contains 16S-23S intergenic spacer region". It matches the Rfam family "Bacterial small subunit ribosomal RNA", at positions 524 to 776 of the family's 1533-position model. Lineage: Bacteria; Bacillati; Actinomycetota; Acidimicrobiia. The record is from RNAcentral.
UACGGAGGGCGCGAGCGUUACCCGGAAUCAUUGGGCGUAAAGGGCUCCUAGGUGGUUCAGUAAGUCGACUGUGAAAAUCCAAGGCUCAACCUUGGGACGCCAGUCGAUACUGCUGUGACUUGAGUUCGGUAGAGGAGUGUGGAAUUUCUGGUGUAGCGGUGAAAUGCGCAGAUAUCAGAAGGAACACCAACGGCGAAGGCAGCACUCUGGGCCGAAACUGACACUGAAGAGCGAAAGCGUGGGGAGCAAACAGG